RNAcentral lists this ribosomal RNA (464 nucleotides) under Vreelandella stevensii. RNAcentral's name for it is "partial 16S ribosomal RNA". It matches the Rfam family "Bacterial small subunit ribosomal RNA", at positions 338 to 795 of the family's 1533-position model. The record is from RNAcentral. Lineage: Bacteria; Pseudomonadati; Pseudomonadota; Gammaproteobacteria; Oceanospirillales; Halomonadaceae.
CCUACGGUGGCUGCAGUGGGGAAUAUUGGACAAUGGGGGCAACCCUGAUCCAGCCAUGCCGCGUGUGUGAAGAAGGCCCUCGGGUUGUAAAGCACUUUCAGUGAGGAAGAACGCCUGGUGGUUAAUACCCAUCAGGAAAGACAUCACUCACAGAAGAAGCACCGGCUAACUCCGUGCCAGCAGCCGCGGUAAUACGGAGGGUGCGAGCGUUAAUCGGAAUUACUGGGCGUAAAGCGCGCGUAGGUGGCUUGAUAAGCCGGUUGUGAAAGCCCCGGGCUCAACCUGGGAACGGCAUCCGGAACUGUCAAGCUAGAGUGCAGGAGAGGAAGGUAGAAUUCCCGGUGUAGCGGUGAAAUGCGUAGAGAUCGGGAGGAAUACCAGUGGCGAAGGCGGCCUUCUGGACUGACACUGACACUGAGGUGCGAAAGCGUGGGUAGCAAACAGGAUUAGAUACCCGAGUAGUC